This 219-nucleotide long non-coding RNA is filed under the name Capsicum annuum. Its description in RNAcentral is "long non-coding RNA (CANN_LNC003010)". Lineage: Eukaryota; Viridiplantae; Streptophyta; Magnoliopsida; Solanales; Solanaceae. The record is from RNAcentral.
CGAGCUGAAACUUGAAGAAAUUAUGACUUCACGGGAGAACUCAGCAGAAUCAAGUCCAAUGCAUGAUUUUGCCCCCGUUGACUUCGACUAUCCUAUGCAAGUUCCCAUUAAUAUUAACAUGAAUGAGUUGGAAAAAAUGAUGCAUAAUUUAUAGAUUUUUCAUUCAUGUAAAUUAUAAAUUUUGGAUCAUUUUGCAAUCAAUAAAAUUUCCCAAAUUCA